This is a long non-coding RNA of Nicotiana tabacum (common tobacco), 1089 nucleotides long. RefSeq lists it as uncharacterized. The record is from RefSeq and is a predicted model, not a curated record. NCBI's taxonomy places the organism in Eukaryota, Viridiplantae, Streptophyta, Magnoliopsida, Solanales, Solanaceae.
CCCUUCCCCUACAAAAAUUCCUUCAGCCAAACCCCAUCUCUAGAGGGCCGCUCACUCUAACCCCAUAUUCUUAGGUCUACCACCCCUCCCUUUUUCCUCAAGACCAAGCUCUCAUCUCUCCCCUCAUUCCAAAAAGACGCGCACACACAAAGAUGGAGGGAACGAAAUUUGGAUAGAAACUUUAGGUUCUUUAGGUUUCUAUCUUUUCUAAGUUUGGUUAAAAAUUUCAGAAUUUCAAAAAAAUACAAAAACGAAAAAAAAAAUAUUCUUUCAUGUUUCUUCUGCUGGAUCGUCGUUCGAGGUCCAAGUUCGUGGGGUUUCCCGAUUCGCCUCACUACUGUCUUCUUCUUUCAGAUUUUCACCUUUUGUGAAGUUGUUUCAGAAGCUCUAUUUUUCAUAUAUUAAUGAAAGCUUGGUUAACAGGAAGUGAUUUUGAGUAAAAAAAGUUAAUUUGGAUCUAAAUAGAACAAGUUAUAGCUUUGAAGUAUAAGUAGAAGCCCAAGAAAUUAAGACGGAAUCACAUUCGGGGGUCGAGGAUUAAGUCCGAAUGUCAAAAAGUGGAUAAAACGAUUUACUCUGAGAAAACAACACUGUUGUGCUGCAUGGGGCACCACAAUAGCGUGGCAUGACUAUGUAAACAUGGUUGCCUGACAGAAUUCAGCUCUCUGAACAUCCUCAUAAGCGCGUCACAUGGCACAGUGCGCCUGUAUAAAUUUCUCAGAGUUAUUUCCUAUUUCGGCUAGGAAAAGGGAGUUUCGUUUGGGCCCGUUCCUACAGAGUACAAAUAUAACAAAAAUAUAUUUUUGAAGGGACUUUUGACCUACGAAAAUUUGAGAAGCAACUAAGGCAAGAAGACACAAGAAUUCAUGAAGAUUUCAACCAACGAUCGGUGCAAUACGGGAGUUUGUGUCGAAUCAUUAUCAUUGAUGUUUUCUUUGUUUUUAAACCUUAUUGAGAUGACUUUUUCUAUUACUAUGGAGUAAUUUCCAUUAGGGUCUUGAUAGAUACGGUAUUUUGAUAAAUUGAUUAGGGAUUCGAUUCUUGAUAAUUGUUGGAAUUAAUUGAUGGAGUUUUAAUUUGUAUUAUGAA